Molecule: long non-coding RNA, 678 nt
Organism: Mya arenaria
Lineage: Eukaryota; Metazoa; Mollusca; Bivalvia; Myida; Myidae
Exons: 3
Source: RefSeq, a predicted model, not a curated record
AUAAUGAUCGAUUUGAAAACACGGUUCUGUGCAGAAAUGCACAUACAUGCGUUCAUAAAUUCCAAACUCGUUAAAAUACAUUGGCAUUGAGUGUCUACGUUGAACAAUAAAAAUGGACGUUUUGCAAGUUGUUGUAUUAGUGAUUAUAAAUGUUUUCUAUGCUGAAGCAACCGUUUGUAGGACCUCAUUCGGCUGGAGGGAAUGCUCCCGCGGAUGUUGUACAAACGAAGAAACACAAGUAGUAUCCUGCUGUUGGCCAGAAACUUCGACGAUAGUUAUUACCUUGGUUCCCACUGUUCUGAUUGUAUUCAUUAUGGUCGCCAUUGCCUGCGUUUUCUCUUCGAUGUCUUCAAAGAUUUCAAGGAAGAUUAAUCCAUAAAGUGAUGAGAUACGUCGUUUUGACGACCAUUUAUUUAGCCCUUGUGGCGUACAUGGGAACUCAUUGGCACAGAAAGUAUUUUAAAAAGUGAUGAUCUGAAGCAAGUUGGUGCCAUUAACAUCUGAACACAUAUGUUCUUACUACUAUACGCAGUUCAUUUUGUCUCUUGUUUACGCCAUUUGUAACUAUUUUUCAUACAUUAAAUUUUUAUGUAUAUGUGUGUAUGUGUUUGUGAAAGUAUUUGUAUACAUGUAUGUAUGUAUUUGUUAAUCUUGAAUAAAAGAGACAAAUGAGCCAUA